GGAUUCUCGGCAUUUCCCUAAUGUAUCAGUGUGGAUUCCACGACUGGCAACAGUACCUUCCGCAGGAGGAAGAUGAGAGAAGGUGGCCGCGUGCCUUCGUGUUUACCAAGGCAGACCUGCUGUUCCUAGUAGGUUCCUAGCUGUCUAAAAUGGGACCGAGUGGGAGGGAAAAUUGUUUUGCCAAUUUUGUAAUGUUUAGGUUUACUAGCGGGUAAGGCUCCCGUUGCUGGUAGAGAGCUGACGCAUCUUGCAGUGACACGCGCAUGCCGUGUUUUAGCAGCACAGCUCAUCAGUUAGAUCUCGGAAGCAGCCUGCGUGUCCAUCAGCAGAUGGACGGGUGAAGAGAGGCUGACGUUUAUACACAAUGGAGAGCUACGCAGUCAUAAAGAAGGUUAAAUCUGAGUCAUCUGUAGGAAAACGACGUCCCUUGGACCGUAAUUUCAGAGAGGCUACGCGGGUGCGGCACGCACGCACUGAAACCCCACCCACAAGUCAUCCCUGUCACACUUCUGGGGUUACCCCGGGCCUCCAAAGGGCUGGCUUCCCUUGACCACCACACCUGGAGUGGAGCACCGGGGACCAAGGAGGAAUGAGGGGCUCAUGCGCCAACGAACCACUUCCUGGGCAGGAUGCCCCUCCUGUCCCUGAGCAGCACCGGCCGGGCUCCUGGGGGAGCCUCUUGUCCUCCAGGGCUUAGGAACCUCCAUCCCACCUGUGGUCCCAGCAUGGGCCUGACCCCACAUCCAUCCCUCUGCGUUUGGAAACCUGACACCCCCUUGUUGGCAGGGGCACCCAGAAUUCCCAGCUGCUCUCCUCCAGGGAGGAAAGUCCUGUCAGCACCAGCUCAUGACCUCAGCUGCCUGAUCACCAGAGACAGAAACACACCAGCCUUGAUCUGGCUCACACUCAUCCAGGUACACGGACACAGGAAAACCCACCAAAGCUGGCACCUAGGUGGCAGACAGAUGCCACGUGAUGCGAGCCACUGCCCGAGUGGAGUCACUGUGCUGACCCACGUGUCUGAGCCACUGUCCUCCUCAGCUGCUCACUCCACGCGUGACCCCCAGUGGCUCUGA
This 1076-nucleotide long non-coding RNA is filed under the name Fukomys damarensis (Damara mole-rat). RNAcentral describes it as "lncRNA (ENSFDAG00000022528.1)". Lineage: Eukaryota; Metazoa; Chordata; Mammalia; Rodentia; Bathyergidae. The record is from RNAcentral.